CCAGUCGUGGUGCAGUGGCACAAAGUGUGACUGUAAAACCCAUUGGUUGUGGGUUCGAUCCCCACUCGAAUAGA
Molecule: transfer RNA, 74 nt
Filed under: Heliconius melpomene (postman butterfly)
Lineage: Eukaryota; Metazoa; Arthropoda; Insecta; Lepidoptera; Nymphalidae
Description: tRNA HMEL011854
Source: RNAcentral